UACGGAGGAUGCAAGCGUUAUCCGGAAUGAUUGGGCGUAAAGCGUCCGCAGGUGGCAAUGUAAGUCUGCUGUUAAAGAGUCUAGCUCAACUAGAUAAAAACAGUGGAAACUACAUAGCUAGAGUACGUUCGGGGCAGAGGGAAUUCCUGGUGUAGCGGUGAAAUGCGUAGAGAUCAGGAAGAACACCAGUGGCGAAGGCGCUCUGCUAGGCCGUAACUGACACUGAGGGACGAAAGCUAGGGGAGCGAAUGGG
This 253-nucleotide ribosomal RNA is filed under the name uncultured bacterium. RNAcentral describes it as "partial 16S ribosomal RNA". It matches the Rfam family "Bacterial small subunit ribosomal RNA", at positions 524 to 776 of the family's 1533-position model. The record is from RNAcentral.